CCUACGGGUGGCAGCAGUGAGGAAUAUUGGUCAAUGGACGCAAGUCUGAACCAGCCAUGCCGCGUGAAGGAUGAAGGCCCUCCGGGUUGUAAACUUCUUUUAUUGGGGAAGAAAAGUAUGGUUUCUACUAUAUCCGACGGUACCCAAGGAAUAAGCACCGGCUAACUCCGUGCCAGCAGCCGCGGUAAUACGGAGGGUGCAAGCGUUAUCCGGAUUUACUGGGUUUAAAGGGUGUGUAGGCGGGCAGUUAAGUCAGUGGUGAAAUCUCCGGGCUC
Molecule: ribosomal RNA, 275 nt
Filed under: uncultured bacterium
Lineage: Bacteria
Description: partial 16S ribosomal RNA
Rfam family: Bacterial small subunit ribosomal RNA
Source: RNAcentral